GACGAACCGAGCGAACGUUGUUCGGAAUCACUGGGCUUAAAGGGCGCGUAGGCGGGCUGUCAAGUCUGGGGUGAAAUCCCGCGGCUCAACCGUGGAACUGCCUCAGAUACUGACGGCCUCGAGGGAGGUAGGGGCGAGCGGAACUGUGAGUGGAGCGGUGAAAUGCGUUGAUAUUCACAGGAACUCCGGUGGCGAAGGCGGCUCGCUGGACCUUUCCUGACGCUGAGGCGCGAAAGCUAGGGGAGCAAACGGG
Molecule: ribosomal RNA, 253 nt
Filed under: uncultured bacterium
Lineage: Bacteria
Description: partial 16S ribosomal RNA
Rfam family: Bacterial small subunit ribosomal RNA
Source: RNAcentral